GUGUUCCUGGUUCUAUAUAGAACCACUGUCUUUACUAAAGAACCCUUGAAGAACCAUCUUUUUUUUAAAAGUGUACUAUACAGCUGGGCCUCAGUGUUGCCAUGACGAACGUAAUGUAAAAUCAGUGAUGUUUGUUAUGUAUAUAACAAUUUAAACACAGAACAUUUUAGGGCCCUUGUGGUACCGUUAGCCUUAACUGAACAAAAUCAAGGCUUAGGACAAACGUGAUGAUGUAAUAUGACUGGCUAAAGGUGCUGGAGCCCGGUGGUCUUAUGAAGGGCUGGAUCUAGACGCCAUAAUCAGAAUGCAAAACUUCUUCUAACCUGGAGCUUCACUGAUUCAAAAAUGGAUGAUCCAUAAUCCGGCCUACUGGAGCCUGUAGUGUGGGACGAGGUGACUUUCACAGGAUAGACAUUUGAAGGACAGUCAGAUGUACGUUCAGUUCAACCUGUUUAACUUGAUAUUAUUUAAACUGUUUAAUAUCUAAUUUAUUUGCUUUGCAGAAAUUCCUGAAAGGCUGAACCAUGGUUGUAUUUAUGUGUUGGUCUGUGUUGAUGUAAAUUACAUGAAUAAAGAGAAGAACAAUUUGUAAAGCUC
Long non-coding RNA from Colossoma macropomum (tambaqui), 597 nucleotides. RefSeq lists it as uncharacterized. The transcript has 2 exons. The record is from RefSeq and is a predicted model, not a curated record. NCBI's taxonomy places the organism in Eukaryota, Metazoa, Chordata, Actinopteri, Characiformes, Serrasalmidae.